GCUGGGCAUGGUGGCGGGUGCCUGUAAUCCCAGUUACUCGAGAGGCUGAGGCAGGAGAAUUGCUUGAACCCGGGAGGCAGAGGUUGCGGUGAGCGGAGAUCUUGCCACUGCACUCUAGCCUGGGUGACAGAGCAAGACUCUGUCUCAA
This 148-nucleotide non-coding RNA is filed under the name Pan troglodytes (chimpanzee). Lineage: Eukaryota; Metazoa; Chordata; Mammalia; Primates; Hominidae. The record is from Rfam by way of RNAcentral.